Long non-coding RNA from Piliocolobus tephrosceles (Ugandan red Colobus), 770 nucleotides. RefSeq lists it as uncharacterized. Lineage: Eukaryota; Metazoa; Chordata; Mammalia; Primates; Cercopithecidae. The record is from RefSeq and is a predicted model, not a curated record. The transcript is spliced from 2 exons.
CGAGUUGAUUUUCUAAGGCCUCUCUCCCUGGUUUGCAGAUGGCCAUUUUCUCCCUCUAUCUUCACACAGUCUUCCCUCUCUAGGUGUUGUAAGUGUCCUAAUCUCCUCUUAUUAUAAGGACACCAAUCGAAUCAGAUUUGGGCCUACCCUAAUGGCUUCAUUUUAACUUAUUUAUUUAAAGGUGCUAUGUCCAAAUAGUCACAUUCUGAGACAGUAGGAAUUAGAAGUUCACACAUGAAUUUUGGGAGGGACGAAAUUCAGCCUGUAACAGAAAUCAUGGUUAUAACUUUUAUUUUUCAAUAACAGUACUUUGAAAAAUGACACUGUCUCUGUUUCUUACAUUUUAAAAGGAAGACAACAUGUUUAAGACCACAGGACAUCUGCAUAGGCUGUAAAUUUCGUUAAAUGAUGGAUGCAAAGAUGGAAGACAGAUGGAUAGAGGAAAAGACAGAAUCAGAUACUGGAUGAGUUAGUACUGCUGCCUGUGCUUCAGGGCUGUCUUAUUACCACAAGGCCGGCAAGCAUCAAUGUCCCCACGUCCCCCGUGCCUCCCCCUGAAAUGUACCGAUUUAUAUGAAAAUUAAGAUUACAAAUUAAAGCCUGGCUAUCCUGGAGUUUUCCAGUUCAUCAGCCAUCCAAUAAAAAUGAUGUCAAGCCUGUAUGCAUAAUUCCCAGAAGAUUACUUUUGUCCUUACAGCUAAGCCCUGUCCCUGAUAUGAAAGAUCUCUAUCCACUUUUAUUGAAAUAAAGAACUAACAUCAUAAUCCCAA